CCAUCACUACAUGUCUUUAGGCACCAGGCAAAAACAUUCCUAUUUACCCAGGCCUAUGGCUAGUAGAAAGUGAGGAGGAGUUAAACUUCUAAUGAGGGUGAAAGAAGAGAGUGCAAAAUAUGGUCUGAAGCUCAACAUCAAAAAAACUAAGAUCGUGGCCACUGGUCCCACCACCUCCUAGCAAAUAGAAAGGGGAAGAAAUGGAGGCAGUGAGAGAUUUACUUUGUUGGGCUCUAUGAUCACUGCAGAUGGUGACAGCAGUCACGAAAUCAAGGUACCCCUGACCGUUAGGUCCAGUUGUGGAUGACUCUGGGGUUGCGGUGCUCAUCUCGCUUUAUUGGCCAAGGGAGCCGACAUACAGCUUCCAGGUCAUGUGGCCAGCAUGACUAACCCGCUUCUGCAGAAUACAUCAUGCAAAAAGCUGGAAUGGAUGAAUCCCAAACCGGAAUUAAGAUUGCCAGAAGAAAUAUCAACAACCUCAGAUAUGCAGAUGACAGAACUUUGAUGGCAGACAGUGGGGAGGAAUUAAAGAACCUCUUAAUGAGGGUGAAAGAGGAGAGUGCAAAAUAUGGUCUGAAGCUCAACAUCAAAAAAACUAAGAUCAUGGCCACUGGUCCAUCACCUCCUGGCAAAUAGAAAAGGAAGAAAUGGAGAUAGUGAGAGAUUUUACUUUGUUGUGUUCCAUGAUCACUACAGAUGGUGACAGCAGUCAUGAAAUUAAAAGACGCCUGCUUCUUCGGAGAAAAGCGAUGACAAACCUAGACAGCAUCUUAAAAAGCAGAGACAUCACCUUGCCAACAAAGGUCUGCAUAGUUAAAGCUAUGGUCUUCCCAGUAGUGAUGUAUGGAAGUGAGAGCUUGACCAUACAGAAGGCUGAUCACCGAAGAAUUGAUGCUUUUGAAUUAUGGUGCUGGAGGAGACUCUUGAGAGUCUCAUGGACUGCAAGAAGAUCAAACCUAUCCAUUCUGAAGGAAAUCAGCCCUGAGCGCUCACUGGAAGGACAGAUCCUGAAACUGAGGUGCCAAUACUUUGGCCACCUCAUGAGAAGAGAAGACUCCCUGGAAAAGACCCUGAUGUUGGGAAAGACUGAGGGCACAAGGAGAAGGGGAUGACAGAGGAUGAGAUGGUUGGGCAGUGUUCUUGAAGCUACCAACAUGAGUUUGACCAAACCGUGGGAGGCAGUGGAAGACAGGAGUGCCUGGCAUGCUCUGGUCCAUGGGGUCAGGAAGAGUCGGACACGAAUAAACGACUAAACAACAUCAACAACAUGGCUAGUAAAUAAUCUAUGGCCUGUUAAAACUGUGUAGGGGGACUGUUAUUAUGAUUAUUUUAUUAUUAUGCUUUUUAAUGCUUUUAUCAUUAUGCUCUGUAACAUGUAUUCUUAAUGUUGUGCACCACCCUGGGAACUUUUGAUAAAGGCAGUAUAUAAAUGGAAUCAUUAUCAUUAUCAUCAUCAACAACAAUAGCCAAACUACACUUCCCAGAAGUGUAGUUCCACUCUGGGGAAAGCCACAACUAUUUUAAAUGGUAUGAUACUGCUUUUAAUAAAUAACACAGAUGGGGUCUGAAGACAGUCUACAAUGCUUUCCAAAUCUAUAAUAAACUAUAGAGAGAUCCCAAUUAAAUCACAAAUGUUGACAUUGGGAAGGGGGGAAAGGCCCUGUUCUAUCCUGCCCAAUCUGUCUCAGGGGAAGAAGGCUCAUGGCGUUGUCAGUAAGGAUAAGGAGGAAGGAAGCAGAACAUACCUUGAGUGGGGGAUAUGUGCGCGUGGAUUUAAAAAGCAAUUCAGCAAAAUUGAACACAUCUUUAUUUGUAUUUGUGUCAGCCUGUCAGUCAAUACCCAAGUGACAUGGAAAAUAUUUAUGAAAAGCAGACAGAACGUGUUAUAAAGAUUUCAGAAACUGUUAGAAAUUUGCAGCUGCCAAAGAACUUGAGAAUAUUUCCUCCCUGACUUCCUGUUCCAGCCAGUGACAGGAUGGCCUCUGGUUCAAGUCGAUGAUAGUGUGGCCUUUAUUCAAUUUACAUGAACAAGGCUAUUUCAAACUUUCAAAUGAAUGUCCUGGCAUUUGUUCUGAUGCAUCAGUCCCUUCUGCACUGUCGGUAGGGUAUAAAUAGCAAUAAAUAAGUAAUCAGAAUGUAUUAAUUGCUAUCCUUUCCCACCUUCCGAUUUAAUAUCCCCCAAAGCCCUUGUUAAGAUAUUUGCAAAACCUCCAGUUACAUAGGAAGUGUUGCUGGUGGUGCGAAUGUGUCAAGGCUUUAACCUUCCAGAAAUAUUCAUGCAGUGAGUAGGAUGCAAAUGCUCUUAAUUAGACCCACAGCUCAUAAAAUGAGCUCACAAGUCAUUUCUUCCAUGACUCUUAGCAGUGCAGAGAAAUGGAUGCUCAGAAAGCAGUGUAACUCCCAUAUACUGUAAUAUGGAGCCUGGUAUGGAUGCACAUUUCCUGGAUUUGCUGUGACAUAGGAACAGAACAGAUUGGAAGUAACCAAUUCUGCCAUCCAUCUUCUCUCAUAGUCCAUCUGUACUGUGACAAAGUAUCUUUAUAAAGCCCACUAUCAAAAAUCUUAACAAGUAUGUAAGGAAGCAACGGGAGUAAUGCGGGCAGCUAAGAAAACUCAGCUUCUGCCGUAAACUAAAAAACAUUUUAAGUACAUGCUCAGAAUUAGAAUGUAUUCUGAGGUUACAUAGUACGCAUCAGCACAAGUAAUAAAACCCUGAUAGCCACUACUUCUCUACAAAGUAGCUUCAGGAAAAAGCAAUUUGCAGCAGGGAGGUGAGUAAUACUUCCCUGCCUGCCAAUAUCUCUUGGAAAUUGUCGCCAAAGCCUCUUUUCCUCAUCAUGGGGUUCAAGAUGCCUGUUUGUGGUUUGAAAUUAGGGUUGCUUCCAAAUUUGCCAGCCUCUAAUUUCCCCUCCAGACACAGUUGUUACGAUUUAACUUGUCCCAGUUACUGAGUGCCAGACCCGUCGGUAUAUUUGCUUUGUGGUUGAAUCUGUCCAUUUCAGUGUCUCUUUUUUUCUAAUCGCCUCCAAAUUUUUGCCAGCAUUCUAAUGCACGCGUUUCCUAAUAUACACAUUUUUGCAAGACAUCUCCCCUAAUAUGGUGCAUGCUACUUUUUACUACUAUGUGCAUUUUAAUGCACACUUGCUCCAAAUGAACACGUUUUGGUGCGCCUUGCUUAACUGGAGGCCUGCAUCACAAAAUUCAGAGAAGUGUGAAUUUCAAAGGAUAAGAUGUGUUUCAUUUGCAUACUGUUCCGGGAAGUGCAAAACAGCUAGUUUUGCAUUAAAACUGAAUGUUUCCUUCCUUAGUGGAGGUGCAUGUCAUUAACACUCACACACUCCUUUACUAUCCUUGAAAUUUCUCAUGUGAUUAUAAAGAUAUGUAUCCCCCUUUUCACCGUUGCCAAAGUAUAGUCAAGGACUGCUAACCCUGAGAGCUGAAUUUCCAGCAACCCACACCUGCAAGUGUCAGACAGUGGGUGUGGCCAGCAAACACUUGCUGGGAGAAGCAUCUGCUACCAGACUCCCAAUACACUCCCAAUGCACAUCGUUUCCUUAAACAACAAAACCUGUGGCUUUUUACGUUUUCCUUUCCUUGGCUCUGACAAAAAGAUAUGUGCUCCUCUGACUGAUCCUGGCAAGAGCUAAAACUACUGCUAGACUACAGGGAACUUACUGAAGGAAGCCUCCCAUGUGCUGCUGAGUCAGGAGCAGUGACAGAUCUACAUUUUUGGGGCCUCAGAAGCAUGAACUGUCGGGGCGCCCCUUUGCAACCAGCAAUGAGGGAUUGGGUAACCACUGUUAUCCUCUUCAGUGGGGUCCCAGGACAGAUCCCACACCUUUACAAAAUCUGUGCUACCGACUCUCAAUUUUUGGGAUCGUUGAAAUAUAUGCAACAAAAAAUUAACAGGUUAGAGUCAAAUUGGGUCUAUUAGACCCACAAAUUUCAAGCAAUGAGGUCCAAAGCCACUUCUGGGGCCCCUCCGGAUCAGGGACUCUGAAGCUUAAGAUUGCUUAGUUUCAUAGUAGAUCUGCCCCCUAGUUAGGAGAUAGCUUCUGGAGGGAUUUACAGCACUCUGGGAUCUCUGAAAAAACAGGAGGAACAUGGGAGAAUGACAGGGAGGAGGGAGACACAGGAAAAAGCAAUAACAUUUGCAAAAAUUAAAAGGCUACUGCUGCCACCAUCCAUCUUGAAGCCUAGAAGUUGUGGAGCCUUGACUGACUCCAGCUGCAAAAGCUGAGGCUGCUGAAAAAACUCUUCCACUGGAUGGUUUGUGGCUGUUUUUUUGGUGUAUGUCUUUAUUUCAGAUCUUGUGAUUUAUGUGGAAAUUGUUCAGUUUGGUUGUGUAUUUUUAAAUGUUUUAUUUAUUGUUUAUGGCUACAUUGUAGUUAUGUAUUUUUUCAUGUUGUAAGCUGCCUUGAGAAUUGUUUGGACUGUGGGAAGUUGGCAUACAAAUAAAAUUAUGCAUGUAUGUGUCUUGGUGGGGCACAAUAAACUUUCAGUGAGGAGCUUAUUAUACCAUCCCUGGUAUAAUAUAUGUACAAUUUGUGGAUUAACCAUUCUGACAAAUAUGGGGAAAUGUUUAACACUUCUAUGCCCCAAAUAUCUUGGCAGCAGCAUUUACUCUCAGGAAAGUUCCCUUUUCCCAUCAGAUGCAGGAUCAUUUUCCUGAUCUGAGAAUCCCAAUGCUGGAGAGCUGAUAUUCUUUCUUCUCGUAUGCAUUUCAGAGCUGAAAAGAACAGCCCUGAAAAAAGAGGUGGUGGUGAGAAGUUCAGACAUUAGUCAACUAAUGCUAGGUUUGCCCAUGUUUGCCACUUCUUUUUCUUUCAACAUUUAAAAAGACUUGCAGAGUACUCCCAGUGGCUUGACAAUAGCACAGUGAUGCUCCUCCUGUAAAAGGUUAAACAAUAACUAGCUAUCUCAGUUCAGACGGAGAGAGAAGCAGAAAGUGCAGAACAAUUCUUACAAACUAGCCAAUCCCAUGGUAUAGUAACUCACUUUUGAUGUUCCUU
Non-coding RNA from Podarcis lilfordi (Lilford's wall lizard), 5012 nucleotides. NCBI's taxonomy places the organism in Eukaryota, Metazoa, Chordata, Lepidosauria, Squamata, Lacertidae. The record is from the annotation of a GenBank genome assembly.